AAUCAACGCUGGCGGCGUGCCUCAGACAUGCAAGUCGAACGCGAAAGUCCCCUUCGGGGGACAAGUAGAGUGGCGCACGGGUGAGUAACACGUAGGUAAUCCACCUUCGGAUGGGGAAUAACAACCGGAAACGGUUGCUAAUACCGCAUAAUGCAGCGGCACCUAAUGGUGACAGUUGUUAAAGCGGGGGAUCGAAAGACCUCGCGUCUGAAGAGGAGCCUGCGGCGGAUUAGCUAGUUGGUAAGGUAACGGCUUACCAAGGCGACGAUCCGUAGCCGGCCUGAGAGGGCGGUCGGCCACACUGACACUGACAUACGGGUCAGACUCCUACGGGAGGCAGCAGUCGGGAAUUUUGGGCAAUGGGCGAAAGCCUGACCCAGCAACGCCG
Molecule: ribosomal RNA, 388 nt
Filed under: uncultured bacterium
Lineage: Bacteria
Description: bacterial SSU rRNA
Rfam family: Bacterial small subunit ribosomal RNA
Source: RNAcentral